Molecule: long non-coding RNA, 1205 nt
Organism: Pimephales promelas (fathead minnow)
Lineage: Eukaryota; Metazoa; Chordata; Actinopteri; Cypriniformes; Leuciscidae
Source: RefSeq, a predicted model, not a curated record
GGCUUAUGAUGUAAACAUACCAGCAAGUCGAACAGCUGAGUUGGGAGAAAGAAAAUUUAAAAAAGAUGUUAAAAUCCCUAAAAGGACGCUGAAUUUACCAGGAUACGUUUAACAGGGAAACCAGGGACCGGUAUGUGGAUAAAACGGCACUUUUAACGGGUUGGAUCCAUGUGAAAUUUCCAGCAAACAGUGGGAGCACAAGUCCAAGCAGGAUAUGAGAACCAUCUCUCUGCUAACAGCUACAGUACUAGUGAAUGGAUUGAACCUUGAAUGCUAUAUCGACGUUCAGUGGCUGGGGAACAAAGUGAAUGAGAUGAUACGAAGGACACAUGGAUCCAACAGGAUGCAUAUGGAACGAGACUGUGUUUUGGCUCGGACACACAUCCUUUGGAAAUUAACGGUGUCUGUUCAAGCUCCUGUGGUGUCUGCUGGGAUAGCCAUGUUUACCAGCCUCCACCUCAGGCUCUUCCCCACUGAGAGCUUCAUGCCCAACAAGGGUGUUGCACACCAAAUCCCCCUGAUUCAGGAGCUCAAAUAAACAACCUACGGGCAGCACCUCCUCUCCUCAGACUGUCCCCUGUUACCAAGAUCUCAUACCGCUCCCCUGAAGAACACCUCCAGAUUUCUCCAGAAGUCACCUCAAGAGAUUACAUGCCUCAUUGCUCCUGUCCUCCAUCUUAGCCUGAAUUUAGCAUAUGCAUUGUGUUGCGCUGUGUUUACCACAACCGAUCCACACGGACGGUCUCUCCGUUACAGUAGAACUCUGUGAUGACAGGUAAUACCACAUCCUUGUAGACCUGCUGAUGGAGCCCCCUUCUGUUCCUUGAAUGCCUGCAGGAUUUCCGUCACCUAAUCUCCCAUGAUUAGCCUUUGCCACUGGGUCCAGGUCAUUAAUCCCGUCUCCUACACUGAGUGACAAUAAUCUCUGCUCACUGGGCAGGAGAGCCAGCUCCAUUUGUCACUCUGUCACCCAAUGGCUCUCACAUGGGAGAGGACAAGGACCAUUUAUCUGUGGAAUGUGCUGCAGUAACUGCAGGGCCGGCAAAAAAAAAAAAUCCAUCCUUCCUCAGGAUUGUACAGUGAUUUGGAGCGAAGAUGAAAGCUUGAUUCCUCUUGUUUUGCAAUGAGUGUACAACGUCUUUGUCAUUAAAUAUAAUGUCAGUCAGUCAUCAAUGUAUUUUUGUCUGAUACAGCAAAUUCAAGGU